AUGGGCGACUUCGACUGUGGCGCCAUCGACUGCGGCGACUGUGGCGACCUUGACUGUGGCGACUGCUGCGAUGAGUGCUUCGACUGCUGCGAUGAGCCGUGCUUCUGCUUCGUCUGCUUCUCGGAUGCCAUCAGCGGCAAGGCACUCCUCCGCAUCGUCUGUGGUCUCGUGAUCUUCGCCGUCCUCGCCGCCGUGGUCACGCUGCUCGUCAUCGCCCUCGUCCCCCGCCGCGUCGGCAUCAGCGUGGAGGACGCGGCCCUCUCCCGCCUCGCCCUCGCCGACAAGAACGCCACGGCCACUGCGCUCGCCUACGACAUCUCCAUCGCCGUCGCCGUCCACAACGGGAAUUUGAUCAUGCCCGCCGAACACACCGCGCCGCUCUACGCGGAUCUGCUCUUCGACGGCGCCCGCUUCGCCCGCGUCGGACUGGCGACCGCAGGGGCCGUGGUCCGACCGCGGCGCAGGGAAGUGUACCGCGCCACGGCGGCGGCCGACAGCGCGAGCGUCGCGCUGGGGAGCGCAGGAGUGGCCGACUUCCUCCAGCAGUCCGAAGCGGGGGAGUUCCAGCUCGAGGUGAAGCUUGUCGGCGAGGUCAUGUACCAGCCACACCACAAGAAGCACAGGCUGGACGCGAUCUGCCGGCUAGAGUUGGCUCUGUCAACGGCAACGUCGCCGGCGAUGUUCAAGAAGGUCAAGUGCGAAGUUCAGAAAGGUCCUGGUGGCCAUUGA
This 729-nucleotide ribosomal RNA is filed under the name Triticum aestivum (bread wheat). Its description in RNAcentral is "partial small subunit ribosomal RNA". Lineage: Eukaryota; Viridiplantae; Streptophyta; Magnoliopsida; Poales; Poaceae. The record is from RNAcentral.